This 276-nucleotide long non-coding RNA is filed under the name Carica papaya (papaya). Its description in RNAcentral is "long non-coding RNA (CPAP_LNC015357)". The record is from RNAcentral. Lineage: Eukaryota; Viridiplantae; Streptophyta; Magnoliopsida; Brassicales; Caricaceae.
UGGAGGUAAUGCUAAUCUGUAGGCGGCAGUACAAAUCCUGUCUAAGACUUCAUAUAGUCUAAUAAAUCGGGGGUUCAGUUUUCCCCUCCUGCCGAAUCUACUUAUUCCUUUGAAAUGAGUGACCUUAAGGAACACUCGAUCGCCUUGUCCAAACGUUAAAUCUCUCAUCCGGGUGUCCGCAUAACUCUUCUGCCUACUCUGAGCCGUCUAAAUGUUCUUUCUGAUUUUAACUAUUUUAGACGUGGUCUCCUCCACCAACUCCGAGCUGAACAAUUU